Molecule: ribosomal RNA, 261 nt
Filed under: uncultured bacterium
Lineage: Bacteria
Description: partial 16S ribosomal RNA
Rfam family: Bacterial small subunit ribosomal RNA
Source: RNAcentral
GUCCUAGCCAUAAACGAUGGAUACUAGAUGUGGGAUAUCGUAUAUUCCGUGUCAAAGCUAACGCGUUAAGUAUCCCGCCUGGGGAGUACGAUCGCAAGAUUGAAACUUAAAGGAAUUGACGGGGACCCGCACAAGCGGUGGAGCAUGUGGUUUAAUUCGACAGUACGCGAGAAACCUUACCAGGUCUUGACAUUCUAAUGACACAUGCAGAAAUGUGUGUUUCCUUUCCGGACAUUAGGACAGGUGGUGCAUGGCCGUCGU